Molecule: ribosomal RNA, 497 nt
Filed under: uncultured bacterium
Lineage: Bacteria
Description: partial 16S ribosomal RNA
Rfam family: Bacterial small subunit ribosomal RNA
Source: RNAcentral
GAUGAACGCUGGCGGCGUGCCUAAUACAUGCAAGUCGAGCGAACAGACGAGGAGCUUGCUCCUCUGACGUUAGCGGCGGACGGGUGAGUAACACGUGGAUAACCUACCUAUAAGACUGGGAUAACUUCGGGAAACCGGAGCUAAUACCGGAUAAUAUAUUGAACCGCAUGGUUCAAUAGUGAAAGACGGUUUUGCUGUCACUUAUAGAUGGAUCCGCGCCGCAUUAGCUAGUUGGUAAGGUAACGGCUUACCAAGGCAACGAUGCGUAGCCGACCUGAGAGGGGGAUCGGCCACGUUGGAACUGAGACACGGUCCAGACUCCUACGGGAGGCAGCAGUAGGGAAUCUUCCGCAAUGGGCGAAAGCUUGACGGAGCAACGCCGCGUGAGUGAUGAAGGUCUUCGGAUCGUAAAACUCUGUUAUUAGGGAAGAACAAAUGUGUAAGUAACUAUGCACGUCUUGACGGUACCUAAUCAGAAAGCCACGGCUAACUACGUG